This is a long non-coding RNA of Mytilus californianus (California mussel), 803 nucleotides long. RefSeq lists it as uncharacterized. Lineage: Eukaryota; Metazoa; Mollusca; Bivalvia; Mytilida; Mytilidae. The transcript is spliced from 5 exons. The record is from RefSeq and is a predicted model, not a curated record.
AUUGACACUUUAACAAAGAAGUCAUCUAAAUGAAAAGGCAACUGGUAAAAGUGCAAGAAAAACAAAUUAAUGUUGAAAAGAAAAUGGAUAUUAUGAUUCAAAUACUACAAUAAAAAACAAAUGAACGAAAAAAGGGAAGCCAAAAGAUUAACGUCCCUGCACAAAUUGCAUAAUCAAGAAGGGAUGGUUAUCAGCAGGGUAUUACUGAAAAGGAUUUCAUCUGGAGAAUAAAGAACGAAACUGGCAGUAUUUUAAAAUAUAAUUCUGCAGAGAACAAAGAGAAGUCUGGAUUCAUCAUAGAAUUUGUAAAAGGCCCAAUAUCCUGAUGAAGUGGAGGGUGUUGUUAGAGAAGGGAUAAAGACAAAUUUUGAAUCGUUCAAAGCAAAGAAACGAAGAGACGAAACUGGUAAACAAGAAGAACAUAACAAGAAAAUGGCUGUGUACAGCAAGAUGAGAAGAAAAUUAAACAACAGAAAAAAGGCCCUAAAAGUAAAAGUCCAGUAUACCAGAGGAACAAAAAGAAAAGGGCUCGAAAAGCCUUGUGGUGCAGAACAUGUCUUAUGAACAAACAGAUUCAUAAGACGAAGGAUCGUUUAUCGUCAGACCUCUGCCUUGGAGGUCUGACGAUGUUGAUAAAUUAGUAAAAAAAACUAGGCCAAAAACAUGAUGGUCAACUAACCAAGAGAAGGAGACGGCAGCAACAUAAACGAAAGGUUGGGGCAGUUUCCUCAAGGAUAAAACCAGAAGUCGUGCCAGGACAUGAAUGGGUGUUUAAAUAGUUUAAAAAUAAUGUCAAUGAUUUA